This 442-nucleotide ribosomal RNA is filed under the name uncultured bacterium. Its description in RNAcentral is "partial 16S ribosomal RNA". It matches the Rfam family "Bacterial small subunit ribosomal RNA", at positions 338 to 795 of the family's 1533-position model. The record is from RNAcentral.
CCUACGGGCGGCAGCAGUGGGGAAUAUUGGGCAAUGGGCGCAAGCCUGACCCAGCAACGCCGCGUGAGGGAAGAAGGCUUUCGGGUUGUAAACCUCUUUUAAGAGGGAAGAGCAGAAGACGGUACCUCUUGAAUAAGCCACGGCUAACUACGUGCCAGCAGCCGCGGUAAUACGUAGGUGGCAAGUGAUGUGCGGAUUGACUGGGUGUAAAGGGCGUGCAGCGGGGAGUGCAAGUCAGAUGUGAAAUCCCGGGGCUCAACCGCGGAACUGCAUUUGAAACUGUGCCUCUUGAGUGCUGGAGAGGCAGACGGAAUUCCUGGUGUAGCGGUGAAAUGCGUAGAUAUUAGGAGGAACACCGGUGGCGAAGGCGGUCUGCUGGACAGUAACUGACGGUGAGGCGCGAAAGCGUGGGGAGCAAACAGGAUUAGAUACCCCUGUAGUC